This 277-nucleotide long non-coding RNA is filed under the name Physcomitrium patens. RNAcentral describes it as "long non-coding RNA (PPAT_LNC007500)". The record is from RNAcentral. Lineage: Eukaryota; Viridiplantae; Streptophyta; Bryopsida; Funariales; Funariaceae.
GUUUUUGGAAGAUCAAGGGAAUUAGAGAGAGAAGCUUCAUGCUUCGGGUCGGGGAAGGAAAGACAUAGAAUUUGGAUUUUUCUUCUUCGUAGAGUUUUGGGAAGACUGAGGCAAUCGCUGCUGAAGUCAGUGUUAUAAUGGUGAAUCGGGAUUUUUAAAUGAAGUGGGUUUGAAUACUCUUGACUGUUUUGUAAAAUCGAGGUACGUCUGUGAUUGAAGGAUUAAAGGGGUGUCUAUAGGAUUGAGUAUGCGGAGUGAAUGAAAUUUAUUGGGUUAA